This 480-nucleotide ribosomal RNA is filed under the name uncultured bacterium. Its description in RNAcentral is "bacterial SSU rRNA". It matches the Rfam family "Bacterial small subunit ribosomal RNA", at positions 36 to 512 of the family's 1533-position model. The record is from RNAcentral.
AACAACCUGGCGGCGUGCUUAACACAUGCAAGUCGAGUGCGCGUGCCGUAGCAAUACGGUAUGGCGCACGGCGCACGGGUGCGUAACACGUGGGCAAUCUGCCCUCCGGUGGGGAAUAACCCCGCGAAAGCGGGGCUAAUUCCGCAUAACAUUCCCUGGACUUCGGUUCGGGGAUUCAAAGCAGCAAUGCGCCGGAGGAGGAGCCCGCGCCCGAUUAGCUAGUUGGUGAGGUAACGGCUCACCAAGGCAAUGAUCGGUAGCUGGUCUGAGAGGAUGGCCAGCCACACUGGAACUGAGACACGGUCCAGACUCCUACGGGAGGCAGCAGUGGGGAAUCUUGCGCAAUGGGCGAAAGCCUGACGCAGCGACGCCGCGUGGGGGAUGAAGCUUUUCGGAGUGUAAACCCCUUUCGACCGGGACGAAUGCCCGCAAGGGAGUGACGGUACCGGUAGAAGAAGCCCCGGCUAACUACGUGCCAGC